GAUUUGACUUUUCCUGCAUUUUAUAUUUUCUAGUGAAACCUUGAUAGCCGCAGCAACAUAUUCGUUAAGAAAAAAAACAUUUCUGUGCUCCAUUUGAUAGAUAAAUAGAACAAUUUAACUUAAAAAAUAAAUAAAAUCUUCUCAGUGUUAUUUGUGAAAACUAUUUAAAAAAAAAAACAAUCUACCGCACAAAUUCUUCGGCACGCCACAUAAAUUCCACCACCAUUUCCACCAUCAAAAUGCACAGCCUCAGCCUUGUGCAUUUAGAAAAAAAAUGACACAAAAACAACCACCAAUUGAUUUGGAAAAUAAAGUGGCGAUCAAUUCCAGACAUCAUUGACUGAGUUUACAGCAGCUUCAGCCUUGAGCAUUUAGAAAAAAAAAGUCAAAACAAGAUACAAAAACUACCACCAAAGUGCAGACUGCAGAGUAUUUUUUUUUUUUCAUUUUUCUCAACUGGCCAGGCCACAGUGGCGUGCCCAAGGAUCUUUUUUUUAUGUAUUUUGUUUUCAAAAAAAAACUAUUUUGUGUUUUUCCAAUAAAAUAUUAAAUAAUAGUUGUUUAAAAGAA
Long non-coding RNA from Episyrphus balteatus (marmalade hoverfly), 570 nucleotides. RefSeq lists it as uncharacterized. The transcript is spliced from 2 exons. NCBI's taxonomy places the organism in Eukaryota, Metazoa, Arthropoda, Insecta, Diptera, Syrphidae. The record is from RefSeq and is a predicted model, not a curated record.